Molecule: unclassified non-coding RNA, 539 nt
Filed under: Bombus terrestris (buff-tailed bumblebee)
Lineage: Eukaryota; Metazoa; Arthropoda; Insecta; Hymenoptera; Apidae
Description: misc RNA ENSBTSG00005035797.1
Source: RNAcentral
UUUAAUAUAUCAUAUUGUAGAGGUUGACUGACAAAGCAACGAGUGGAUGAAUUUGUAAUGGAAAAAUAUAUUGAAACAAGUAUAAGUACACGUAUAGUGUAUGAAAUGAAAAUCAAAUAAAUUAUUAUCACUAUUUAUUAAUUUGAUAUAUGAUAUUGUCGAGGUUAAGUGACAGAGGGAUCAGUGGAUGAAGUGGAACAGGAAAGUAUAUUGAAAUAAGUAUAGGCAUAAGUAUAAGUACAGGUAUAGUGUAUGAGGUCAAAAUCAAAUAAAUUGUUACCAUUAUUUAUUAAUUUAAUAUGUCAUAUUGUAGAGGUUGUCUGACAAAGCAACGAGUGGAUGAAUUUGUAAUGGAAAAAUAUAUUGAAACAAGUAUAAGCAUAAGUAUAAGUACAGAGGUUGUCUGACAAAGCAACGAGUGGAUGAAUUUGUAAUGGAAAAAUAUAUUGAAACAAGUAUAAGUACACGUAUAGUGUAUGAAAUGAAAAUCAAAUAAAUUAUUAUCACUAUUUAUUAAUUUGAUAUAUGAUAUUGUCGAG